UGGCUCUUUCAGGGUCCGAGUUGUAAUUUGUAGAGGAUGCUUCGGGCGUGGCGCGGGUCUAAGUUCCUUGGAACAGGACGUCAUAGAGGGUGAGAAUCCCGUAUGCGACCCAAUGCCUCCGUCCAUGUGAAGCUCCUUCGACGAGUCGAGUUGUUUGGGAAUGCAGCUCAAAAUGGGUGGUAAAUUUCAUCUAAAGCUAAAUACUGGCCAGAGACCGAUAGCGCACAAGUAGAGUGAUCGAAAGAUGAAAAGCACUUUGGAAAGAGAGUUAAAAAGUACGUGAAAUUGUUGAAAGGGAAGCGCUUGCAACCAGACUUGCUCGCGGUUGCUCAGCCGGUGUUCUCACCGGUGCACUCUUCCGCGAUCAGGCCAGCAUCGGUUUGGGCGGCUGGAUAAAGGCCACGGGAAUGUAGCUCCUCUCGGGGAGUGUUAUAGCCCGAGGUGCAAUGCAGCCUGCCCGGACCGAGGACCGCGCUUCGGCUAGGAUGCUGGCGUAAUGGUUGUAAGCGACCCGUCUUGAAACACGGACCAAGGAGUCUAACAUCUAUGCGAGUGUUUGGGUGUCAAACCCAUGCGCGUAAAUGAAAGUGAACGGAGGUGGGAACCCUUAAGGGUGCACCAUCGACCGAUCCUGAUGUCUUCGGAUGGAUUUGAGUAAGAGCAUAGCUGUUGGGACCCGAAAGAUGGUGAACUAUGCCUGAAUAGGGUGAAGCCAGAGGAAACUCUGGUGGAGGCUCGCAGCGGUUCUGACGUGCAAUCGAUCGUC
Molecule: ribosomal RNA, 766 nt
Filed under: Sarea difformis
Lineage: Eukaryota; Fungi; Ascomycota; Sareomycetes; Sareales; Zythiaceae
Description: partial large subunit ribosomal RNA
Rfam family: Eukaryotic large subunit ribosomal RNA
Source: RNAcentral